UACGUAGGGGGCUAGCGUUGUCCGGAAUCAUUGGGCGUAAAGAGCUCGUAGGUGGCUUGUUGCGUCUGCCGUGAAAGCCCGUGGCUUAACUACGGGUCUGCGGUGGAUACGGGCAGGCUAGAGGCUGGUAGGGGCAAGCGGAAUUCCUGGUGUAGCGGUGAAAUGCGCAGAUAUCAGGAGGAACACCGGUGGCGAAGGCGGCUUGCUGGGCCAGUUCUGACGCUGAGGAGCGAAAGCGUGGGGAGCGAACAGG
Molecule: ribosomal RNA, 253 nt
Filed under: uncultured bacterium
Lineage: Bacteria
Description: partial 16S ribosomal RNA
Rfam family: Bacterial small subunit ribosomal RNA
Source: RNAcentral